Molecule: ribosomal RNA, 723 nt
Filed under: uncultured bacterium
Lineage: Bacteria
Description: bacterial SSU rRNA
Rfam family: Bacterial small subunit ribosomal RNA
Source: RNAcentral
UGCAAGUCGAGGGGCAGCAUCAUCAAAGCUUGCUUUGAUGGAUGGCGACCGGCGCACGGGUGAGUAACACGUAUCCAACCUGCCGACAACACUGGGAUAGCCUUUCGAAAGAAAGAUUAAUACCGGAUGGCAUAGUUUUCCCGCAUGGGAUAAUUAUUAAAGAAUUUCGGUUGUCGAUGGGGAUGCGUUCCAUUAGGCAGUUGGCGGGGUAACGGCCCACCAAACCUACGAUGGAUAGGGGUUCUGAGAGGAAGGUCCCCCACAUUGGAACUGAGACACGGUCCAAACUCCUACGGGAGGCAGCAGUGGGGAAUAUUGGUCAAUGGACGAGAGUCUGAACCAGCCAAGUAGCGUGAAGGAUGACUGCCCUAUGGGUUGUAAACUUCUUUUAUACGGGAAUAAAGUUAGCCACGUGUGGUUUUUUGUAUGUACCGUAUGAAUAAGGAUCGGCUAACUCCGUGCCAGCAGCCGCGGUAAUACGGAGGAUCCGAGCGUUAUCCGGAUUUAUUGGGUUUAAAGGGAGCGUAGGCGGGUUGUUAAGUCAGUUGUGAAAGUUUGCGGCUCAACCGUAAAAUUGCAGUUGAUACUGGCGACCUUGAGUGCAACAGAGGUAGGCGGAAUUCGUGGUGUAGCGGUGAAAUGCUUAGAUAUCACGAAGAACUCCGAUUGCGAAGGCAGCUUACUGGAUUGUAACUGACGCUGAUGCUCGAAAGUGUGGGUAUC